GAUGAACGCUGGCGGCGUGCCUAAUACAUGCAAGUCGAGCGAACGGACGAGAAGCUUGCUUCUCUGAUGUUAGCGGCGGACGGGUGAGUAACACGUGGAUAACCUACCUAUAAGACUGGGAUAACUUCGGGAAACCGGAGCUAAUACCGGAUGAUAUUUUGAACCGCAUGGUUCAAAAGUGAAAGACGGUCUUGCUGUCACUUAUAGAUGGAUCCGCGCUGCAUUAGCUAGUUGGUAAGGUAACGGCUUACCAAGGCAACGAUGCAUAGCCGACCUGAGAGGGUGAUCGGCCACACUGGAACUGAGACACGGUCCAGACUCCUACGGGAGGCAGCAGUAGGGAAUCUUCCGCAAUGGGCGAAAGCCUGACGGAGCAACGCCGCGUGAGUGAUGAGGGUCUUCGGAUCGUAAAACUCUGUUAUUAGGGAAGAACAUAUGUGUAAGUAACUGUGCACAUCUUGACGGUACCUAAUCAGAAAGCCACGGCUAACUACGUG
This 497-nucleotide ribosomal RNA is filed under the name uncultured bacterium. RNAcentral's name for it is "partial 16S ribosomal RNA". It matches the Rfam family "Bacterial small subunit ribosomal RNA", at positions 28 to 507 of the family's 1533-position model. The record is from RNAcentral.